Molecule: ribosomal RNA, 1372 nt
Filed under: uncultured bacterium
Lineage: Bacteria
Description: 16S ribosomal RNA
Rfam family: Bacterial small subunit ribosomal RNA
Source: RNAcentral
GAUGAACGCUGGCGGCGUGCCUAAUACAUGCAAGUCGAGCGAACGGACGAGAAGCUUGCUUCUCUGAUGUUAGCGGCGGACGGGUGAGUAACACGUGGAUAACCUACCUAUAAGACUGGGAUAACUUCGGGAAACCGGAGCUAAUACCGGAUAAUAUUUUGAACCGCAUGGUUCAAAAGUGAAAGACGGUCUUGCUGUCACUUAUAGAUGGAUCCGCGCUGCAUUAGCUAGUUGGUAAGGUAGCGGCUUACCAAGGCAACGAUGCAUAGCCGACCUGAGAGGGUGAUCGGCCACACUGGAACUGAGACACGGUCCAGACUCCUACGGGAGGCAGCAGUAGGGAAUCUUCCGCAAUGGGCGAAAGCCUGACGGAGCAACGCCGCGUGAGUGAUGAAGGUCUUCGGAUCGUAAAACUCUGUUAUUAGGGAAGAACAUAUGUGUAAGUAACUGUGCACAUCUUGACGGUACCUAAUCAGAAAGCCACGGCUAACUACGUGCCAGCAGCCGCGGUAAUACGUAGGUGGCAAGCGUUAUCCGGAAUUAUUGGGCGUAAAGCGCGCGUAGGCGGUUUUUUAAGUCUGAUGUGAAAGCCCACGGCUCAACCGUGGAGGGUCAUUGGAAACUGGAAAACUUGAGUGCAGAAGAGGAAAGUGGAAUUCCAUGUGUAGCGGUGAAAUGCGCAGAGAUAUGGAGGAACACCAGUGGCGAAGGCGACUUUCUGGUCUGUAACUGACGCUGAUGUGCGAAAGCGUGGGGAUCAAACAGGAUUAGAUACCCUGGUAGUCCACGCCGUAAACGAUGAGUGCUAAGUGUUAGGGGGUUUCCGCCCCUUAGUGCUGCAGCUAACGCAUUAAGCACUCCGCCUGGGGAGUACGACCGCAAGGUUGAAACUCAAAGGAAUUGACGGGGAUCCGCACAAGCGGUGGAGCAUGUGGUUUAAUUCGAAGCAACGCGAAGAACCUUACCAAAUCUUGACAUCCUUUGACAACUCUAGAGAUAGAGCCUUCCCCUUCGGGGGACAAAGUGACAGGUGGUGCAUGGUUGUCGUCAGCUCGUGUCGUGAGAUGUUGGGUUAAGUCCCGCAACGAGCGCAACCCUUAAGCUUAGUUGCCAUCAUUAAGUUGGGCACUCUAAGUUGACUGCCGGUGACAAACCGGAGGAAGGUGGGGAUGACGUCAAAUCAUCAUGCCCCUUAUGAUUUGGGCUACACACGUGCUACAAUGGACAAUACAAAGGGCAGCGAAACCGCGAGGUCAAGCAAAUCCCAUAAAGUUGUUCUCAGUUCGGAUUGUAGUCUGCAACUCGACUACAUGAAGCUGGAAUCGCUAGUAAUCGUAGAUCAGCAUGCUACGGUGAAUACGUUCCCGGGUCU